UUUUAACUGCCUUCUGAGAGGAGGCUGCAGAGGUACCGUCCUGAAGUCAUGGAGUAAACAGAAAAGGACCAAAUACGUUCACCGCCGAUCCUUACUUUGCUGAGGAGAUGACUGCCUUCAUGACAAUUAAGGCCAGCGAGAACAAGAAAUCUCCCCUCACCGAGAAGCUGGGUCACGAUACCCUCUAAUCAAGCUGCAGCAACCACCCCGGUGUCCGUGCCGCCGCAACUGACUCUCAAAAAAGAAAAGCCCUGUUAGCAACCGAUUUGCUCGCACUCUCGGUAGAAACAGGGAAGGAGAAUGUUCUAGGAAAUUUGCCUCGGGUUACGUGACUCGAGAACCGGCUCGAACCAGUUCGAACCAUUUGUCUCGUGAAUGCUUGGUCACGUCUACAAUAUAAUGAGGAGGGAAGCUGACCCUCUUGGCACAGACCGUACUUUAGUUUCAUGUUCAUAGGACGGACCAAAGUGACGUUGGUGGAGCGAAAAAUAGGGGUGGCAGACACUUCGCCAAAAUGCUUGUACUAUGAUUUUCUUAAAAGUGACAAAAGAGACUGUUGUAUGCAUCUAUAUCUAUUUUGUAUAUAUUUUAUAUGAUCAUAUGUGUUUGUCUGUCUCAGUGGGGGAUCUACCGGGGGUAAGAAGGGCAAUUGCCCACAAUUUUUCGUUCCUGAAAUUGUAACUGUAAAACACAAUCGUUUCUGUGUUCACCGAUGGCUAUUUGAUAGAAUUAAAAGGAUUAUAACUAA
Long non-coding RNA from Penaeus monodon (black tiger shrimp), 748 nucleotides. RefSeq lists it as uncharacterized. The record is from RefSeq and is a predicted model, not a curated record. The transcript has 2 exons. NCBI's taxonomy places the organism in Eukaryota, Metazoa, Arthropoda, Malacostraca, Decapoda, Penaeidae.